AUUGAACGCUGGCGGCAUGCCUUACACAUGCAAGUCGAACGGUAGCGGGCCUUCGGGUGCCGACGAGUGGCGAACGGGUGAGUAAUACAUCGGAACGUGCCCGAUCGUGGGGGAUAACGAGGCGAAAGCUUUGCUAAUACCGCAUACGAUCUACGGAUGAAAGCAGGGGACCGCAAGGCCUUGCGCGGACGGAGCGGCCGAUGGCAGAUUAGGUAGUUGGUGGGAUAAAAGCUUACCAAGCCGACGAUCUGUAGCUGGUCUGAGAGGAUGAUCAGCCACACUGGGACUGAGACACGGCCCAGACUCCUACGGGAGGCAGCAGUGGGGAAUUUUGGACAAUGGGCGCAAGCCUGAUCCAGCCAUGCCGCGUGCAGGAUGAGGGCCUUCGGGUUGUAAACUGCUUUUGUACGGAACGAAAAGCCUUCUUUUAAUACAGGAGGGUCAUGACGGUACCGUAAGAAUAGGCACCGGCUAACUACGUG
This 482-nucleotide ribosomal RNA is filed under the name uncultured bacterium. Its description in RNAcentral is "partial 16S ribosomal RNA". It matches the Rfam family "Bacterial small subunit ribosomal RNA", at positions 30 to 507 of the family's 1533-position model. The record is from RNAcentral.